Molecule: long non-coding RNA, 380 nt
Filed under: Homo sapiens (human)
Lineage: Eukaryota; Metazoa; Chordata; Mammalia; Primates; Hominidae
Description: HSALNT0139374
Source: RNAcentral
AGAGAAGAAGUUUAAGUUCUGCUUACAAAUGAGGAUCCUAAGCUUGGAAACUCUCCAAGUGACAGAAAAUUGGCAAGUUCUUCAUCGUUGAUUCCUUACUGGCUCUUUGGAGAGGAAAGGAGUUCUGCUCAGGAUUUGGCUGAGCCCUUUGCUUGGCACCCCAGCCAGUAACUCAAAAGUUCAAGGAACUUGACAGACAGAGGCUGUUUUUCUGGUGAGAGAUUUGAACAUGCCCAGUUGAGUCUGUCAUCGCACGUCUGCAUCUUGUCUCCUUCCAGAGGAGGCUUAUUUCUGACCAGGCUUGUGAUGGAUGUAUUCUAUGCGGGAAGACUUUUGCCUGCCCCUGUGGCAUUUACCCUGGAUCAGGGUGAGCCCUGAAU